This 170-nucleotide ribosomal RNA is filed under the name uncultured bacterium. RNAcentral's name for it is "partial 16S ribosomal RNA". It matches the Rfam family "Bacterial small subunit ribosomal RNA", at positions 350 to 511 of the family's 1533-position model. The record is from RNAcentral.
AGCAGUAGGGAAUCUUCCACAAUGGGCGCAAGCCUGAUGGAGCAACGCCGCGUGUGUGAUGAAGGCUUUCGGGUCGUAAAACUCUGUUGGUAGAGAAGAACGUUGGUGAGAGUGGAAAGCUCAUCAAGUGACGGUAACUACCCAGAAAGGGACGGCUAACUACGUGCCAG